AUUGAACGCUGGCGGCAGGCCUAACACAUGCAAGUCGAGCGGAGCGCCGGACGGGUGAGUAUUGCCUAGGACUCGGCCUGCUUGUGGGGGAUAACGACCGGAAAAGGGCGCUAAUACCACUCCCUAUUAGAUUCGGCUAGGUUGGAUUUGCUAGUGGGUGGGGUAAAGGCUUACCCAGGCGACGAUCCGUAGCUGGUCUGAGAGGAUGAUCAGUCACACUGGAACUGAGACACGGUCCAGACUCCUACGUGAGGCAGCGGUGGGGAAUAUUGGACAAUUGGCGGAAGCCUGAUCCAGCCAUGCCGCGUGUGUGAAGAAGGUCUUCGGAUUGUAAAGCACGUUAAGUUGGGAGGCGUUACCGACAGAAUAAGCACCGGCUAACUUCGUGCCAGCAGCCGCGGUAAUUC
This 407-nucleotide ribosomal RNA is filed under the name uncultured bacterium. Its description in RNAcentral is "partial 16S ribosomal RNA". It matches the Rfam family "Bacterial small subunit ribosomal RNA", at positions 30 to 526 of the family's 1533-position model. The record is from RNAcentral.